This 440-nucleotide ribosomal RNA is filed under the name uncultured bacterium. RNAcentral describes it as "partial 16S ribosomal RNA". It matches the Rfam family "Bacterial small subunit ribosomal RNA", at positions 338 to 795 of the family's 1533-position model. The record is from RNAcentral.
CCUACGGGAGGCAGCAGUGAGGAAUAUUGGGCAAUGGAGGCAACUCUGACCCAGCCAUGCCGCGUGAGUGAAGAAGGUUUUCGGCUCGUAAAGCUCUUUCGGCUGUGACGAUGAUGACGGUAGCUUCUCAAGACGCCCCGGCUAACUACGUGCCAGCAGCCGCGGUAAUACGCAGGGGGCAAGCGUUGUUCGGAAUUACUGGGCGUAAAGGGAGUGUAGGCGGAUUAGUAAGCUAGUGGUGAAAUCCCAGGGCUUAACUUUGGAAUUGCCAUUAUAACUAUUAGACUGGAUUUAAAGAGAGGAUAGUGGAAUACCCAGUGUAGAGGUGAAAUUCGUAGAUAUUGGGUAGAACACCAGUGGCGAAGGCGACUAGCUGGAUGGAGAUUGACGCUGAGGCUCGAAAGCAUGGGGAUCAAACAGGAUUAGAUACCCUUGUAGUC